Molecule: ribosomal RNA, 501 nt
Filed under: uncultured bacterium
Lineage: Bacteria
Description: partial 16S ribosomal RNA
Rfam family: Bacterial small subunit ribosomal RNA
Source: RNAcentral
ACUGAACGCUGGCGGCAUGCCUUACACAUGCAAGUCGAACGGCAGCACGGGUGCUUGCACCUGGUGGCGAGUGGCGAACGGGUGAGUAAUAUAUCGGAACGUACCUUAUUGUGGGGGAUAACGCAGCGAAAGCUGUGCUAAUACCGCAUAAUCCCUAAGGGGGAAAGCGGGGGACCGUAAGGCCUCGCGCAAUUAGAGCGGCCGAUACCUGAUUAGCUAGUUGGGGAGGGAAAGGCCAACCAAGGCAACGAUCAGUAGCUGGUCUGAGAGGACGAUCAGCCACACUGGGACUGAGACACGGCCCAGCCUCCUACGGUAGGCAGCAGUGGGGAAUUUUGGACAAUGGGGGCAACCCUGAUCCAGCAAUGCCGCGUGAGUGAAGAAGGCCUUCGGGUUGUAAAGCUCUUUUGUCAGGGAAGAAACAGCAGCUCUAACACAGUAUGCGAAUGACGGUACCUGAAGAAUAAGCACCGGCUAACUACGUGCCAGCAGCCGCCGUAA